Molecule: ribosomal RNA, 253 nt
Filed under: uncultured bacterium
Lineage: Bacteria
Description: partial 16S ribosomal RNA
Rfam family: Bacterial small subunit ribosomal RNA
Source: RNAcentral
GACGUAGGAGGCGAGCGUUGUCCGGAUUCAUUGGGCGUAAAGAGCGCGCAGGCGGCUUGGUAAGUCGGAUGUGAAAUCCCGAGGCUCAACCUCGGGUCUGCAUCCGAUACUGCCCGGCUAGAGGUAGGUAGGGGAGAUCGGAAUUCCUGGUGUAGCGGUGAAAUGCGUAGAUAUCUGGAGGAACACCGGUGGCGAAGGCGGCAUCCUGGACCGGUAUUGACACUGAUGCGCGAAAGCGUGGGGAGCGAUCCGG